Molecule: non-coding RNA, 223 nt
Filed under: Pseudogymnoascus sp. VKM F-4519 (FW-2642)
Lineage: Eukaryota; Fungi; Ascomycota; Leotiomycetes; Thelebolales; Thelebolaceae
Description: Eukaryotic small subunit ribosomal RNA
Rfam family: Eukaryotic small subunit ribosomal RNA
Source: Rfam by way of RNAcentral
UACCUGGUUGAUUCUGCCAGUAGUCAUAUGCUUGUCUCAAAGAUUAAGCCAUGCAUGUCUAAGUAUAAGCAAUCUAUACAGUGAAACUGCGAAUGGCUCAUUAAAUCAGUUAUCGUUUAUUUGAUAGUACCUUACUACUUGGAUAACCGUGGUAAUUCUAGAGCUAAUACAUGCUAAAAACCCCGACUUCGGAAGGGGUGUAUUUAUUAGAUAAAAAACCAAU